Molecule: ribosomal RNA, 253 nt
Filed under: uncultured bacterium
Lineage: Bacteria
Description: partial 16S ribosomal RNA
Rfam family: Bacterial small subunit ribosomal RNA
Source: RNAcentral
UACGGAGGGAGCUAGCGUUGUUCGGAAUUACUGGGCGUAAAGCGCACGUAGGCGGCUUUGUAAGUUAGAGGUGAAAGCCCGGAGCUCAACUCCGGAACUGCCUUUAAGACUGCAUCGCUUGAAUCCAGGAGAGGUGAGUGGAAUUCCGAGUGUAGAGGUGAAAUUCGUAGAUAUUCGGAAGAACACCAGUGGCGAAGGCGGCUCACUGGACUGGUAUUGACGCCGAGGCGCGAAAGCUAGGGGAGCAAACGGG